UGGGAGAGGAGGGGGAGG
This 18-nucleotide microRNA is filed under the name Macrophomina phaseolina MS6. RNAcentral describes it as "miR-1369". Lineage: Eukaryota; Fungi; Ascomycota; Dothideomycetes; Botryosphaeriales; Botryosphaeriaceae. The record is from RNAcentral.